UACCAGCUCUCCGAGUGGUGGGGACAAUUAUUGGGCUUAAAGCGUCCGUAGCCGGCCCAUCAAGUCUCUUGUUAAAUCCAGCGAUCCAAUCGCUGGACUGCGGGAGAUACUGCUGGGCUAGGGGGCGGGAGAAGCCGAUGGUAUUCUCGGGGUAGGGGUGAAAUCCUAUAAUCCCGGGAGGACCACCAGUGGCGUAGGCGGUCGGCUAGAACGCGCCCGACGGUGAGGGACGAAAGCUGGGGGAG
RNAcentral lists this ribosomal RNA (245 nucleotides) under uncultured Thermoproteales archaeon. Its description in RNAcentral is "partial 16S ribosomal RNA". It matches the Rfam family "Archaeal small subunit ribosomal RNA", at positions 474 to 719 of the family's 1478-position model. The record is from RNAcentral. Lineage: Archaea; Thermoproteati; Thermoproteota; Thermoprotei; Thermoproteales.